This is a non-coding RNA of Xyrichtys novacula (pearly razorfish), 14142 nucleotides long. Lineage: Eukaryota; Metazoa; Chordata; Actinopteri; Labriformes; Labridae. The record is from the annotation of a GenBank genome assembly.
ACAAGCUGCUGCUGUAAGAGAGUCGGUGAGUUGUGUUUAGUCUCUUUGCGAAAGAAAUCAGGCAAAGCUAAAAAGAUGUUUGGUGGCUAGUUCUAUGGCUGGGACCCUAUAUGUACUGUUGAUGAAGUUAGGUGCUGUUCUGAGCAUUAUUUGGCUAUAGAGUGGCGUUUUGGUUGAGUGUGUGGCCCAUGAGACCGCUGUGUAUUGCUAUCAUGCGGUCAUUUCUUAAGUUGGUAUAACUAAAGAAGCAAGCGGUCGGCAACAUUCAUCUCUCGAGGGCGUCUAAGUGUCCAAGCAGCUAGUGGCUAUUUGUUGUGGUUACUGUCCACUAUAAGUCAAGCACAGUAGUACUAGCUGUUUGGUAGAUCUGGUUUUAUAAGAAGUAACAAUUUCAAGGCUGCAAUUAAAGUAAAAAUAAAAUGUUUUACUCCCCUCAGGUUUAGUAUUGAUGUAAGAAUAAUUAUGGAAGAUGUAGCACCGAUUUCCAGAGAGUCAACAGGAAAAUCUGUCCCGCAGCGUUGGCAGCUGUUCCCACUCAGAAUCAUUGGAGUCCUUAUUUUUGGCUUGAAUUAUCUUCAAAUGAAGCUUACAUCCAAACUUGUCAGGUUCAUAAGGCUCAAAUCAAGUUAAUUGUUAUACUUUGACUUUAGUUGAGUAUAUUAAGUUCAGUUUUCAGUUUGGCAAGGAUACUUAAAGAAAAAUCUGCUAAAUAAAACAAAAGAAAACUUCUAUUAUUACUUCCUUUGAAUAGAGCUUUACCUCAUUAUGCACCUCAUUAUGCUGCUGUGCAAAACUCUUUUCAGUGGAUGGAUUUGAUAUGACAUGUCCGAUCAGGUUGUCCCUUGGGAACUAGCAUUAGAAAUUCAGUACGUUGUUGCAGAGUUUGGACCAAUCAGAAUCAAGUGUUUAACACAGCUGAGUAAAGAGUGAUAAAGCUGGUUAAUAAAUAUAUGUAAAUAUAAUAUAUUAAAUCCAUUGACUCAGCCCAUGACUCAGGCGACUGCAAGAUUUACAAAGGGACCCUUUUUACAAUCCCAUAUAGGGGAAAAAGAUCACUCUCUGUAAGAUGUUUCGCCUUUUUUUCAGGAGGAGCUGAUGAUACUGCUCACCACUGACAGGAAGAAGGCUUCACAGCCGGGUUUUUGAAGUUGACCUGCAGACAAAGAUAAAAGAUCACUGGAUAAAAGUACAUCUGGAGAUCCUUUUGAAGAUUCUGAGCUGCACAGACUAUAAGGCAACAUUUUAUAAAAUCAACAAACUAAAUUCAGGAAAAGCGCACAAUUCCCUUAAACAAUGACACCCAAUCCGAGUUUAUCUUUACUCUAUCAGAGUGUGUGUCUCGCACUGCUAAGCGGAUGAUACAUAAGCCCUCUGGCAGCUCUCCAUUUCCUGUCCCUCCUUGUAAAAAAGACUGUUCAUAUCAGUGUUGAGGUUAGGGAUGCUUGGUUCAGCAUAGAUCCCUGUUAGGAUAAGGCCCCCCAUCUCCCCGUUUCCACCCCCCUGUCCAUAUCUGAAGCCCCUCCUGUGAUUUCCUCUUGACACGUGUUAUCUGACACCGCCUUGCAGUCCAACAAAUCCAGCUCCCAGAGCUCACACCUUGUGUGGCAGCGGAGACUGAAUCCAUGGCAGGUUUAAUGGCAGAGCGGUCACUCAUGCAAGGAGAGUGCUAUAUUUUAAACAAAACUGUGAAAUACCCCCUGACGGUUGUCUCUCUUUGGUUCUCUUUUUAAAUGUAGCACUGAAUAUGCAUAUUUGAUGCCAAGCCAAGUACAAAGGCCCCUAAGUUCACUCUUGUGACAGCUACUUUUGUUCAACAUGGGUUUUCCAUUUGUUGUUGCAAUUAUUUAUCCUGAUAUUUUACCCUGCAAAACAUCCAACAUAAAUUGUGCAUGCUUUGACUCCAAGAGGCUUGUAAAUACACUUUGACAGCAGCUCAACUAAAAGAUCUUUUCUGGCACUUUUAGCACUGAUAUUAUCUGACAAGUGAGAUUAAAUCUUUCAUUUGCGUCUUUCACUAACUCCUCUUUUUCACAGGUUUUAUGGCAGCACUGUGAUGCCUUGUCUUUUGUGCAAGGGGGCAGAAUUUUAGUUUUUUUUUUUCCUUCUUUUUUCAUGUUAAUCUACAUAAAAAAAUCUGUUUUCAUUUGGAAUAGAUGAUAGUGAUAUAGGCCUUAUAAGGACCAAUGCUAAUGUGAUGCUAAUUAUAACAAAAGGCCAUUAAUCAGUCUGAUUAACUGACCAGCUGAUUAAUUGCUCGAUCUCUAUCUAUAUAGCCUUUAAAAUGGUAAUACAGUAAUAACAAUGACAUGAAGUUAUGUUUUUGUCAAACAAUACUCCAUUGUUAAAGUUGUUGUAGUGUAUGACAGGUCCAUGUGUGUUAAGGAGCCUUCACACAGCAAGGAUUUCCAGACACGCAGAUGAAGAGUUUGACUCACUCCAAAUUUUAGCACCACCAUGAAUUUUUUAUCAGCUGAGGCUCAUGAGGAAGAGGGAGGGAAAACGCUAAUCUGAAGAUCGGCAUUCGAUCAUCAUCUCCUUCAGUCUCCAUGUCAAAGUUUCCUCAGGCAACAAACGAAGCUCUAUACUGAGUAUGUGUGAAUGUUAAGUACAACGUAAAUUCCAUCCCUACGAGCUGACACUGGCUUGUCCUCUGCUAUCAGCAUAUGAAUGUGUGCCAGUGACAGAAUAUGACAAGUUUUGAGGCUUAAAAAAGCUCCAUAAAUCUUGUCCAUUUACCAUUUUCUUCUCAAAAUGUCACUGGAAAUGCAAAGCGUGCUGUGGGGGAGUUCAUACCCCGACUGUGUAUCACCUAGAAGUAAACAGGCCAUAACACUCAAUGACACCAAAAAUAUAACGCAGACAGACAGAAUCUUGAAGAUCCCCAUGGGGAUGUGAGGGACUGAAGCCCUCAAGAAGACAUGUGACCUACUUGGCUUAACCUGCCUUUGUUCAAGUUUGGUCUUGGAGCCAGCUGUGACACGUCUGCUGCUGUCAACAGGAAUCAUGGGAUGUAGGGCAGACAGAUGUGGAGGAGACAGUCUGCAUUGAUGUGUUGGCUUCUCCAGCUCGACUGCGUAGGCAAAGAUGGCAGCUCUAAGUGCCGGGUGUCCGCGCAGCCGGGUCGCCUGGGAACAUGCUGACCGUACGCACGCCAGUGUUGGCAGAGGAGCAGCGUUAACGACAGGAGAAAGGCCAUUCUACCCUGCUCACUCGGUGUGUCCGGUCUGAUUGUACCUGGAAGAGAGUAAGAGCACAUCAAACAUGUAGUGCACACUAAUGAGAAUACACAGACCUCACAUUUUCUCCUCUGGAAUAGGUUUUCUUCACAUGGGAUUUGAUUAAAGAACUCCUGCCUUGUCUUUUUCACACGUAUUGUCAAUUAAAGGCGCACAGAGACAGCUCCCUCUUGAGCGAUUCUAAUAUCAGACAUUCAGAAAUAUUUGCGUAUAUGCAAGCUUGAUGGCUGACGAGAAAUAAAUCCACUCCUCCUCCGAAGCAUCAAAAACCAACAGCUUCCCUUUAUCAAUGUGAACAGAGCAGCUUCAAAUCCCCAUAUGACGAAGAAAAUAGAGCCUUUAGGGACUGAAGAGAGAAAUGCAUUGUAAGCUAAGACCAUUAUGUUACUUCAGUCUUCUUUAAAUUGCUUUUGUGCUCUGAAAAUAUUCAUCAAUUCUAUGACAGGGACUGUUUUCUCUGCCCCCGAGUCUCUCCCCAAUCACUGGCGGGUGUUUUACAGUAAUACUAUGUUCCUUAUCUGUCAUGACUUUUCAAGAUACUGGCAGUGGUACUGUAAAUGAGCCCGCUCUGCUCUGCAGUAAGACAAAGCUUCCUGGUUUAAUUGGAGCUCCAUUUAUGAGGAAUAAAGAAACUGGCAGUUCCUCCUGCCUUUAUUCAUUGCAGGAAACGUAUGUGGAUUUUAUUUCACAAAGAGCUUAAUUUUUCCUUCUUCUGGCCGUCACUUCCAAAUAAUAUUUAAAUGGGGGUUUGACAACACAGCAGUAGGAGUAGAUGACAGAAAGGCUGGCGGUAAAAGUAAUUUAAAACAAGAAGCCUGACAGCGAGCGGGAACAGAAAGUUUGAAGGAGUUUUAACAGUAAGACCAGUGUUUGGUUGGGCUCUGACCAAGUUUGAUCAUGACAAAUGUAUUAAAACUGAAAGCACAAAGUAAGAAAGAAAAAGAAAAGUGAGCACUUUAGAUUAAACAAGACAAUAAUUGUAGAUCAGACUGUGAUACAAAAGAAAAAAGCAAUUUGUCGUAUUUGUUGUUACAAUCAUCUUUAAAAUAUAUAGUUUCUCUUUUUGACUUUAUUUUUAAUCAGGUAUGAAUCUGUUCUUGUGACAAACCAGUGGAGAAUCAUAAUCACACUCUUUUUAGUUUUCCUUAUCUGCUUAUUUUUAAAGUCUGUGGUUCAUUAUUGCUUUGGCUGGUACAGUCUGCCACUCUUGUAAAUUAUUUCAGCCAACAAGUGUUCCCAAUUAACGGAAAAGUGCAUUGUUUUUUUAGUUUUUUUCUUCUGUGUGGUUAUCAGACGCAGACAAAACAUACUAGUAUCCAAUCAGACGCACUUACCAGAGGAUGCAUUAAGCUGUCUGCACUUUUUUAAAUAAGAGUAGAAAAAUAAAUCAGUUUUAUGGUGUGACGCAGUGAUGCAGGAGUUUUUUUUAGGUGAAGGGAGAAAAAUAUAAUGGGAGAGUCUGAAUAGACUACUUCUAUAAAGGUCCCCUAUUAUGAAAAAUCCACUUUUGGGUGGUUUUCUGCCAAUAAUAUGCACCCCUUGAAGCUGACAACCCUCCCUGACAUGAAAACUUUCAUUCUCUCCCUCUCUUGCUUUCCCUCCUCUCUGAAAACAUGAGUGCAAACGGGUGGAUGGAAAAGCUGUGCGGUUAUGACGACAUAACCGCAAAAGCCUCUACUACAUGUUGGUGGCACUGCCCCUGAUAAUCGUUAGCCCAGCCCUCUAAAACUUCUUUGCUGAAGUAGCGUCUGACCCAGCCUCUGCACGUUUCUUGGCUUCACAAACUAAGGCAAGUCUUUUUCUGCCUCCUUCAUCUGAAGAUUUGAGGACCCAGUGUAUCAAUUUUAUUUUAGAUGGAAAUGUACACACAACAACUCUGAAAAUGUUUGCUAACCCUUUCACCACAGACUGUUUUACCAACGAGGGGCAGUUCAAAGCAGGAUUCGCUAAGAAGCUUAAGAUAAAACCUGGAUCCGUUCUGACUGUCCGUGUCAGGGACAAAACUUCAAAUGCGGAAGCUGUAAGUUUUACUAUUUUAUGUUGCUUUACCGCUGCCCGUAUGACUAGUGCUUUGGCUGCAUUCCAGUGUGUUUACCAUCGUUGGUGUUUGUCUUCAGACUCACUUCUAUUUUCUAUUUACUUUUAUUCCCAUGAGCAACGGGUGUUCCUUGGGGGCGUGGAGGCAGGCUGGUCCUUCCAGCCGCAGUGGUCUGGAGGUCCUCUGAAGAGGUCCUCAGAAGAUCUCCAGACCACCACUCCUGGACCAUCACGGCGGUUCCGGCAGCUCAGAGUGGCCUUGGGGAGGAAGAUGUUUACACACAGCUCAUUAUCAUUUAAAGGUACAGGCGCAGAAUCAGGGGGGGGGCUGGUGUUUAAACGACAAACUUCAAAUUUACUAUUGUGAGACCUCUGGGACUGAUUUAAACUUGAUGAAAAAUGCCACAAUAGGAGACCUUUAAAGCCUCUAUCUAUAGUUUUUCACUUUUAUAAACAGAUUCAAAUCAACAGUGAUGAUCUAAACAAGACCAAUAACAGCAAGAAUGACAACUUUAAAGUCCCUGUUUCCACCUCAAGAUGGUAGGUGUCAAAUGAGUCAGUUAUAUAUGAAUGCACAUCAACUACUCUUUCACAUUAUUAACUCUUACAGCAAAGACAAACAGACUUGGUGAGGAGGUGGUAAAAUUAGAGGAGUAUUGGAGGCUCAGUAUUACUGGCAGUAGUUUGUGGGGACCAAAGCUAAACUUAAAAGGAUGAAAAAUGUACCGCUUACCUGAAAAUGGCUUCUUGUAAAUGCUGUUUGCCUCUUUGAUAUGUAAGCAGCCAACUGUUUCCCAGUUUAAUGAGGUGAAAACAUCUCUGUUUUGUUGUAACAGCUGCCUACAAGAUGUAAAUGAAUAAAUACGAAAUCACUUAGUAUAAGUCUAACAUUCCUGCAGACAGUUCAGUUGAACUUUAUCCAGAAAAACACAUGACUCACUGUUUAGGUUUGUUUGGUAUCAAAAAAUACAGACUUUCUUGUUGAGCAGUGUUCCCACUAACAGACCAGCAUGGAGUUAUUUCACACAGUCCAGCGACACAGUCAGACACAAAAACAAAGCAAAACAUGACAGGGAGAAUAAUCAGAUAUUAUUCAGCGAGGCAAAACAAGUCCUCGCUCAGAAAACGUGUUUGAUUUACUGGAGCAGGGCAGAAUUUAUUUGCUUACCCUCAUGUUUGACCCACUCAGGCCCCCUUUACAAAAUAAAAUAAGCAAUAACACAUUGUCUUGUUACUUUGAGACAAACUGCGAUUGGAUCUAGUAUCAAAACAGUGUUUUAUUAGGAGCUGUGAAUGUAUUUGUCCUGAUAUCCCUCCAGAAGAACUUGCAUAUAUUACUUUUUCUUUAAGAACUUAAUGGUAUGUUUGUCGGCUGGAUCAUCUAAGCUUCCCACCUGCCCUCUUUAUGUUUGUUUGUUCUUACCAAACUCAAACUCGUCUCUUUCAGCGACCUCUGAAAAUGUCAAAGCAAAAUAUAUGCAGUAUAAUAAUAUAUGUGCAUAACAUCAAAACACUGACACAUCCUUGAUGGCAUAACACACCGAGGGAGCACACUGACAAAGAAAUGUUUCUCAUUGAUUUUUGACCACAGGGUACAUUUGGAAGAUUUAAAUAUAGAUACAAAACUUUGUAAAAUUGCUACAAAGUGAAAAUUGAUGACAGUGAAGGGGUCUUAUGUGAAAUGAAAAGCACCAGCAGACCUCAGUAUCUUUGUGCCGCAGAUAAGGUCUCCGUCAUCACAGCGCCGGAAGAUGCCUGUGGUUUGGAUUCUUGAGAUGGACUGUACGUUGCUCUGAUUUCAAACGAGUGGGAGACGGGCUGUUCCCUCAGCAAAGCCGGAGCUGACUCAGACACUCUCGACCCAGCGCCCCAAAUCACACAGCAGUGUUAUUUGCCAGAGGAUACAAUCAAGGAAACACAUCAAAGUUCACUCUCCGGAGCUGGAGCCGCUCACAUGCAUCCCCUCAGUAUAGGCCUGUAUGCACACAAACACAUUCAUAGAUUUGUGUGCUAAUUACACAUGAAUACUCUAAAGCCUGACUCAUAAUGAAAGAGCAAUUAGGCCUCUCCAUCACUGGCUUUGAACCAAACCAAGCUCGACUUUUACACAGCGGGCUGAUUUUCAACGUCUGCUGACUAGCCACAUGUUGGUGUGUCUGACCUAACUGUUGGACCUCAGAGUCGAUCAGUGGGCUUCCCGCCCACCUCAAUGCCUAUAGGCUACCUUCACUUCCUUCUGUUUAGACUCCUUAUGCACAACCAAACACUCCUGUUUUUAUUGAGUAAUAAGGCUGCUGCUGUCUCUAUGUUAUGCUCAGUCUACAACUGUUGCUCUAUAAGGUUAAUAUUUUAAAGGCAUGGUUGACGAUUGGAGAGAUUGGUAAUUAUUAUGAACCUCGUUUUUAUGUUGAUCAUGGUCCUGUAGUGCGAUCUCCACAAUGUGAAGAGAAAAAAGGACGGACAAAAUCCGUUCACCCUAGCAGGUGCAGGGCUGCAAAAACAUUGACCAAUGGGAGCCAUCCGUCCCAGACAGCUCCUAUUGGUCAAUCUCCUUGCUCCGCCUCUCCAUCCAAUCACCUCGCUGUAUUCGACACACCCCUCUCCCGUAGUUCCGACUCAUCCCCUCACACUCCCCCGGCUCUCCUCGAAGCUCUGAGCGGCUAGCGUAGCAGCUUAGCUACAGAAGCUGUGAUGGAGAAGAACGCAACAAAAGAAAAAAAAAACAACUUCUGCUUCUUCAGAGAAAGGGCAGAGUCGAAGAGGAAAUGUGACCAAGCGAGGACUCUAACUUAAAUAAACAUCGGGUCAUCCUUCAAGCAGAGGAGAAAGCUCUGCCGGGAUUUGGGUCUGAAAUCAGACACCAACAGAGUUUUUGUUGAACAGGUAAUUUUUACCUUUUAUCCUGGCACAUGUUACAUAAAUAACUCUUAUUAGUCUCUGCAACGUCAACAUGGUGGCUGUCCAGGCAGCUGCAGACGGUGCUCGCUAGCAGAGCUGGCGUUUACUGCCACACUAGCAAUCCAACAUGGUGGAUCCUAUUUGACGUUGGGUAGGAUCUUAUGCCGGCCGGCUUCUUGCUCUGCCAGAGGUAUCUGGCAUCUUCUUAAACACAAUUGAAGGCAAGGAAGUGUCUUAACGCUAAUAUUUGCCGAAUACUACAUGAUGAUGGCUAGUUAUCAAAUUUCUAAUUUUUCUCCAUCAUUUGUUUGUAAUGUCGCUCAAGUCCAAAGUCCUAAAAUGAUUAUAGUUGUCCAACUUCUCUGUUUACACAACCAAGACUAUGUUCAUACAGCGCUACAUUAAAACGCCUUUCCUUUGUGUUUUAAGAUAAUCUGUGUUCCUGACAUUAUGAAAAACAAUCUUUGUGCAUGACUGAGAGCCAUUCUUCAAUCGAGCACUGAAGUAAAUUUGAUUCAACUGGAAAUGUAAUAUGUUUAGGCAGUAAAUUCACAGUAUUCAAAGAUUUUCAUACUGCCAGUUUAAAUGGCUAGAGAAGGGAUGGCGUAUUCAAGAGAUUCAACCCUAGAGCCUGCUUUUAAAAGCUUGUAUUUUCAGCUGUCUGGAUGUUGUCACCAUGUUACAGUUCAUUAUUUUUAACUAGAUAUGUUUCCAUGUAAAUAUCUCCUAACACAAUAUAAAAAAUGAGGGUAGGGAAAUCUUUUCAGCUAAUUAAGGUUAUGAAUUGUGUGAUGAGUUGGAAUUGGUUGUGCAUUGUGCAUGCAUGCAUAUGUCUGAGUGUAUUAGUGUAAGUGAAUUCCAACCUUGAGCCUAAGUGGCUGCUGUGUGAAUGAUACGGCGGCUUGUCUUCCUAUGGAUGGAUAGAACCAGGAUGAAUUCACUCCUGACGGUGACUCCAUGUUUCUGUUUGUGUGACUCCUCUCCUUGCUCAGCUUGAUGAUUUUCUAAUGUUCCCUGUAAUCUCUUGUAAUCAUGGUGCUGUGGGAACUUAAACACAUGUUGCCACAACAAACGAUCUCGGCCCAUCUCAAUUUGUCCAUCAAAGACACAAGUCCAGUUUGUCCCAAAUCACACACUGACAUCACACUGCAGGCAAGCUAGACGUGUCCAUACAUAUUAAUGAAGACAUAAAGUCAUUUAUUCAGCAGCUGAUUUACAUUGCAGAGUUGAGAGGUUCUAAAUCAAAGGGAUUUCAAAACACUUUACAAGAUUUGCAAAUUAGAUGAGACAAGCUGUUUAUUUCUCUACAUGUUGUAGCUUUUGGCCCUAAACUUCAUUUAAUCUUAAUUCCUUCAUUAGGUAAGUACGAAUGCAGUUGUACAUCAAUAAAGUUAGUCAAACACAUCUAUAAAAAUCAAGUACUGUUUGCACAUAAAUGCAUGCUCCGAAUAUAUCGUCAAAAGUGCUGCAGUCAUAAAGCAUGUAGGCUCACAAAGCAAUAUAUAAUACCCUAUAUUAAUCUUUUUCCUCGGUUGGCACUCAGUAAAACAUUAUCUACUUGCCUGCUUGUCUCUCGUCUCGAGGGGGAGUGCGCCGGUGGAGCAGAGGAGGUAGGACAGAUUUAGGAUUUGUAUGCGACGAGAGGCACCUUUAGGAGGAGUGUGUCUGGUCUGUCUGACGCUCUUUGAUUCUCGGCGGGGAGGGAGCAGGAGCUCGCUCAGACGGAGGAAAAGACUUAUGAGCUUUAUUGAUCACAGGGUCGUAUAGAGCGGGGAGUCUCCGUCUGCAUAAAACAGAGCUUUUAUUGACAUCAAGGCUGCAACAGGUGAGGUAACUGAAGAAAUCAUCGAGGUGAGAGAGUAAAUUCAGAGGAGAAGCUUUAAAAAAGAAUGGUUGUGUUCUGAGUUUUUUUUAGCGGGGAUAAAACUCAGAGGUAUUUAAAUCCACCAGUGACAGAUUAUUGCAUCAAUUCUGUAACCUGACACGACCGUUCGGUUCACUAUUUCACUUUUAAAUCGAUGGAAAAUAUUAUGUACACUGCUGCACACAAAGCCUUAAUGAUCCCCCUCUGACUGACUGAGGCAUAAAAGAAUUACAUGUCAUUAUUGUUACAGUCAAUCGAGCCAUGACGCCAGUGAGUUUUUCCUGUUUAAAAAAAGGCCUUCAGUAUAAUGAAAGCUCCUACUGCUAGACUAGCGAUAGAAAAAGAUGAAAAAAAAAGUUAUUUGUAUGUUUGUUUCACAUUUUGAACUAUCAGACACUAUUUUCUAAGGGAUUGUGUUAGGUUUUUUGAGCUGCCAGACAAAAAAAUAGGUGACUAUUGUGUCAUGUGCCAGGGUAAAAAACAAUCGGGGAAAGGAUGCUGAACAAAAAAAGAACGAAAUAAAAAGCAACAAAAACUUACCUUGAUGUCCAACUGAAAAAUUCCUAAGGCAAAAAAACAAACAAAACAAAACAAAACAAAAACAAAAAAACACAAGAAGCAAAGAACCAAAAAUUACAAGCAUGCACACAUGUUGACAUACAUACAAUGAGCCAACAAGGACAGAGGGGAAGACAGGGACGAUAUACACACUGGGAAACGAGCCACAGGUGAAACUCAUAGGUGAUUAACGAGGGAGGGAAAACUAGGUAAGUAAAAACAGACUAGAAACACAAGGAAUCAAGUUCUACAAAAUAAAAUGGGAAUCACUGAGAACUGGUCUAAAGAAUAACAGUCAGUGCGUUUACAUGAACAGCUUAAUCGGACGAAGCUCAUAGUAAUUCAAAAAUGAAUUAUUGAUGUUAAUGUGUCCUCCUUCCCAAAACUAGGGGGCGAUAUGGGUCUUUUAAGGGGCGCUGUUUCUGAGCCUUUUUCAAAGAUGUCGCCGCUCCUCGUUGUGCGACCGUCGAUAAACUUUAAAAAGCCAAUUUCUUUCAGGAGGGAAAGCAUAACGGCACUCUCCUCGUCAUUCCAGAAGUGGACAUUCUUUUGUGCUUCAGCCAUGUUGCAGUUGCUUUUGAGCUGAAAGUUCUUAAAAUGAAAGUGCCACUUCUUCUCUGGUGUUUUUGUUCAUGCAUUGUCUGAUAAAACUCUGACUACACUGGUUACAUGGUACAGAAAAUCAAAUUCCAAUUGCAUUAUCUGGGUGUUAUAAUCAGACUCUCAAACUCUGAUUACAGUCAGACUAAGGUGUUUACAUGCACUUCAGUUGUCUGGUCUUAAUCAGAAUGAGGCAAUAAUUCAGUUUUCUUUAGAGUCAUGUAAACGUAGUGAAUGACAACAUGAGGGAAAAAACGGGGUUAAACAAACUGAAAACUCACAAGACAGGAUCACAGGAACAAUAGAGAACAGAAACACAAGGAAAAACACAAAGAAAAUACGCUCAACAAAACCUGGGAAAACUAAAUCAACAGAACAUAUCGUGACAUCUUGAGCAGAAACUUUCCUUGUACUGAAAAAAUACUGGUUGGUUUUGUGAGCUCAGCUGUGAUUUGGAAGGUUGAAGAAGACAAAGAUAUCCUUUAUUAAUUCCCCUUGGGGGGGAAAUUGAAUUUUUCACUCUGGUGUUAUACAUGCUACGCACACAUGCACAAAAAACUCUAUUGGGAAAACACUGAACUCUGGGGCCAGUUGGCGAGAACUAUGAUUUUUCUUCUCUUUCAUUUGUGUUGUUUUUUUUCCCUACAAGUCUGCAGAAGCUGUGACCUAGAAAACAGAUGUAUGUGAUUGUGCACACAAGGCUGGAAGUCAUGCAGGUGACUGUGGCGACUACUUUGCCAAGACGCUGCUCUAGAAAAUAAGUUUUUGCUGCAGCUUUCUUUGCUGGACGCAGCUUUAUCAGCGUAAAUGUCCUUUUUGAUGCCUAUUAUGGUCCAGAACGUCGUCUUAACCACGGCCUUCAAAGUGCAUUUCAGCUUCUUCUCGUGUGCCAGAUAUUUGAGUCCAUCUAUCUGAGACUUUUCUGUUUGGGAAGUUUAGUUUCAAUAAUAUACCUGUUGCUAGGCACUAAGCCCCCGCUUUACACAUCCACGGUUUAACAAAAACAAGCGUGUGUGUAUACAACAGGGGGUCAGACGCCAUGUGCCACGACUGCUGCCAGAAAGAGCGCUGUGGUAAACUGCCAACCACUGUGGUCUGGUACUCCAACAGCCAUUCAGCCCCAGUUCACUCCCCCCUCCUCCCUACAGCAGCAGGCUCUAAAAUAAGAUAAGACAACUGAGACGAUUUUCAAAUGAGAGCACUGGCAUUGGCUUCUGUGCUCACUCAGACUCCCACUGAGGGUUGAUUUUUCUUUUUGUUUAAACAGGAAAAGUGAGAUUCGUCUCUAUGGUGGCGGAGGAGCAGCAGGAGGAGUAAUUGUUGCUUAGUGAAGCCGUGGUAGACAGGUGAAUUCGAGCUGGCUUUGGUUUGUUCAACUUUGAUUAAGAAUUCAGCUCAUAUCAUGUGAAGUAAACACAACACAUACACACAAAAACACACACAAAUUAAGCCCAAAAGCUUUCCAGUAACAUAGUCUAACACAUUAUAUUAAACUAUAUUACAUCAAACUCUAAUCUACCUCUUUUAAUACUUCCAACUGCUUCAUCAUGGGGAGAUAAUGGGAGGUCAGGCUGAUAGUCAUGUUGUCCUGAAGUGCCCAUCUCAGUCUGCCAAGACGUCUGUUCAUUCCUGAAGAAUGUGUUCCCGACAACAGCGUUGACUCGCCUCCCCGGAGCCAUCACUGUUCGUUGGCACACGAGCAGCGAGAGGCAGUGCUGUUUGAGGAUAAAGCUUUGGUGAAUGCUGUGGUGUACCAGGACCGGUGCCAGGCUGACACAGGAACUGCAGGCGAAACACCUCCUCUGCCAGCCCUGCGUGCCCCUUUCUAAAAAUAUUCUCACGUGCAGCCACAAUAAUGUAACAGGAUUUUUUCCGCCUCCAUUCUUAGCUGAAGGCUGCUUUGUUAACGCUGCUAGCUUGACUGGCAUGUGGACGACUGAUUUGUAGUAGUUGUAAUUGAUGUAUCAGCUAAAGCAUAUCUAGCACUUUCUCUUUAGUUCUUGUCAUGCAUUAUAUGGAAGCACGUAUUUGGAAACAAACAGCAUGAUUACCUUUUCAAAAGUAGCCUUCUUUCUUGGUAAAUGGGUAACCUAAUUAUUAUUUCACCGGUUUCACAAUCUCUGACCAGUCUUUUGGAAGGAGCUCGAGAAAAUUGGCUCCAUUAUUUAACUCAGACUCAGUUCUGUGGCUUUUAAUCAAACACCGUUUUCCCGUUUAUCUCCACCAGCUCCCCCACAGUUUUAUCUGUUCUCUUUGUAGACCCAUUUUAAGCAAUUACUCGCCUAUGUGAUUGUUGUGAUACAUUUUUAAAAGAAUCAAACUUUGAUAUUUAAUUGCAGACUACAUUUAGGAACACAUUUUAACACCCCCCUGUGACAUUUCUCAUGUUUUGAUUCUUAACAGUGUGUUCAUUAGUAGGGGGCUGCGACAGCUCAGUAAUUACACGUGUCUAUGCUGUUAAUGGGGGUUUUUGUGCGCCGGUGAUAAAGAUUGUGCCUGUUUUGACUUACAUCUCGCUGGUGUGUAUUUGUUGUGUGGUCCUUUGUAAUAAAAACAAGGACAGCAGUUAGCUGAGGUACAACACCUUUUCUCUGAUUAGACUUACUAAACAGGAUAAUGAUUCCCAAGAGAGUGUGUCUCCAUCGCUCCGCUUGCCCUGUCACUCUCCGCACCGCCAUCGCCAUGGUGAUCAAAGCCAGAUGUGCUCACUUCUGUUGCUGCAAACAAAGUGCUACUGUACUCGCUGUUUUUACAGUUGUCACUCUGCUCAGUGCCACAGCCCUAAGGGAAUCUGCUCGCUAUUGCAGCAACAAAAGACGGACUUUAAAGCACAACAGAGUCCUUUCUUGUGGGCUGUCAUAUUAUUUGGACGACGCGUAGAGUUAAAAUAAUAUACGUUUGAAAGCUGAAAUGCACCUUCAAUUAUGUAGUUACUGUAAAGCUGCAAUG